AAGACGCCUAGCCUAGCCACACCCACACGGGACCCAGCAGUAAUUAACAUUAAGCAAUAAGCACCAACACCCCUAUCAGCUCGACUUAAUUAUGGUAUUAACAGGCCGGUAAACUUCGUGCCAGCCACCGCGGUUAUACGAAGGACCUUAAAUAAUAAACCCGGCACAAAACGUGACUAGAGCACAUAUUAACCCAUGAGGUAUAAACCCUUCCCCAGUUAUAAAAUACAAAGGUCUUCCGGAAACCCAUAAACCUCAUUUAACAUUAUUUCUUGACUCACGAAAGCCAAGACACAAACUGGGAUUAGAUACCCUACUAUGCUUAGCCAUAAACCUUGACAUUCCCCCAAUGUCUGCCAGAGCACUACAAGUGAAAAACUUAAAACUCAAAGGACUUGACGGUGUCCCACACCACCCUAGAGGAGCCUGUCCUACAAUCGAUACCCCACGAAACACCUCACCUUUUCUAGCACUUCAGUCUAUAUACCGCCGUCGUCAGUCUACCUUAUAAAAGAUUAACUAGUAGACAAAAUAGCCCCCACCCCAAAAACGUCAGGUCAAGGUGUAACUAAAGAAAAGGAAAGAGAUGGGCUACAUUUUCUAAUAAGAAAAUACCCAACACACCCUGAAAAAGUGCCAAAAGGUGGAUUUAGCA
This 655-nucleotide ribosomal RNA is filed under the name Rhynchoedura ornata (Western beaked gecko). RNAcentral's name for it is "partial 12S ribosomal RNA". It matches the Rfam family "Bacterial small subunit ribosomal RNA", at positions 442 to 1337 of the family's 1533-position model. The record is from RNAcentral. Lineage: Eukaryota; Metazoa; Chordata; Lepidosauria; Squamata; Diplodactylidae.